RNAcentral lists this unclassified non-coding RNA (392 nucleotides) under soil metagenome. Its description in RNAcentral is "partial contains 5.8S ribosomal RNA, internal transcribed spacer 2, and large subunit ribosomal RNA". The stretch from base 1 to 122 matches the Rfam family "5.8S ribosomal RNA", at positions 35 to 154 of the family's 154-position model. The record is from RNAcentral.
GAUGAAGAACGCAGCGAAAUGCGAUACUUGGUGUGAAUUGCAGAAUCCCGUGAACCAUCGAGUCUUUGAACGCAAGUUGCGCCCGAAGCCAUCAGGUUGAGGGCACGUCUGCCUGGGCGUCACAUAUCGUUGCUCGAUGCCUAUCGCAUUGCGAUAGGACUUAGGGCGAAUGAUGGCUUCCCGUGAGCGUUGUUGCCUCGCGGUUGGUUGAAAAUCGAGUCCUUGGUAGGGUGUGCCAUGAUAGAUGGUGGUCGAGUUAGCACGAGACCGCUCAUGUGCAUGCUCCCCAAAAUAUGGCCUCUGUGACCCACACACGUCUUUUGACGCUCAUGACGAGACCUCAGGUCAGGCGGGGCUACCCGCUGAAUUUAAGAAUAUCAAUAAGCGGAGGA